UCAAUGUGUAGAAUGUGUUUGUUCCUGAGGUCCACACUGGUAAGUGAACAUAUGUAAAUGAGUAGAAUGUGUUUGUUCCAUAAGUGAACAUAUGUAAAUGAGUAGAAUGUGUUUGUUCCAUAAGGGAACAUAUGUAAAUGAGUAGAAUGUGUUUGUUCCAUAAGGGAACAUAUGUAAAUGUGUAGAAUGUGUUUGUUCCAUAAGGGAACAUAUGUAAAUGAGUAGAAUGUGUUUGUUCCGGGGUCCACACUGGUAAGUGAACAUAUGUAAAUGAGUAGAAUGUGUUUGUUCCAUAAGGGAACAUAUGUAAAUGAGACAGUCACAGUGGAUGUUGUUCUGAAUAACUGGUCGGGGUUUAGCAUUUCCCAUUCAGCUUCAGGCUACUUUACACGUAAGACUUGUUCACACCUGUAGUGACGACUUCUAUCUGUCACGCCCGUUGUUGUUAUCCACUGUUCACAUCAACGUAAUUACACCCAACACAAUGUUGAAAAACAGAACGCUUGCCACCACUCGAUCACAUAGACCGUGAGCUGGACUCUGAUCCCAACUCUGCCACCAGUGUAGCGGGAGACGGCGAAAGCUGCAACAGGGACUCUAACCAGGGCUCAUACGUGGCAAAGUGAGUUCUGACGGCCGUUGCCAGGAAAGUCUUGUCGGCCUCUGGGCGGAGGCAGUAGUUCAACAAUGCUGGCAUUUGCCUUGUUUACAACAGCCUAAUUAUAUAACAUGACUGACAGGGCUGCAGUAAUCAUCAUGAAAUGGCCUUGGGAAGUGCCAUAAGUGUAAGACAACAGAAAUCAUUAUUUUAACCUGUUUAACUGCAUUGAUAUGGUUUAAUUGAUCCUAGUCCAGACUUGUUAUUGAUAUGGCUUAAUUUUUUAAAUGUUGUAUUUAUUUAUUUAAUUUAACUAGGCAAGUCAGUUAAGAACAAAUUCUUAUUUUCAAUGACGGCCUAGGAACAGUGGGUUAACUGCCUGUUCAGGGGCAGAACAACAGAUUUUUACCUUGUCAGCUCGGGGGAUAUGGCUUAAUUGAUCCUAGUCCAGACUUGUUAUUGAUAUGGUUUAAUUGAUCCUAGUCCAGACUUGUUAUUGAUAUGGCUUAAUUGAUCCUAGUCCAGACUUGUUAUAGAUAUGGUUUAAUUGAUCCUAGUCCAGACUUGUUAUAGAUAUGGUUUAAUUGAUCCUAGUCCAGACUUGUUAUAGAUAUGUCUUAAUUGAUCCUAGUCCAGACUUGUUAUAGAUAUGGCUUAAUUGAUCCUAGUCCAGACUUGUUAUAGAUAUGGCUUAAUUGAUCCUAGUCCAGACUUGUUAUAGGUUAUGGUUUAAUUGAUCCUAGUCCAGACUUGUUAUUGAUAUGGCUUAAUUGAUCAUAGUCCAGACUUGUUAUUGAUAUGGCUUAAUUGAUAGUCCAGACUUGUUAUUGAUAUGGCUUAAUUGAUCCUAGUCCAGACUUGUUAUAGAUAUGGUUUAAUUGAUCCUAGUCCAGACUUGUUAUUGAUAUGGCUUAAUUGAUCCUAGUCCAGACUUGUUAUUGAUAUGGCUUAAAUGAUAGUCCAGACCUGUUAUUGAUAUGGCUUAAUUGAUAGUCCAGACUUGUUAUUGAUAUGGCUUAAUUGAUCCUAGUCCAGACUUGUUAUAGAUAUGGUUUAAUUGAUCCUAGUCCAGACUUGUUAUUGAUAUGGCUUAAUUGAUCCUAGUCCAGACUUGUUAUUGAUAUGGCUUAAAUGAUAGUCCAGACCUGUUAUUGAUAUGGCUUAAUUGAUAGUCCAGACUUGUUAUUGAUAUGGCUUAAUUGAUCCUAGUCCAGACUUGUUAUAGAUAUGGUUUAAUUGAUCCUAGUCCAGACUUGUUAUAGAUAUGGUUUAAUUGAUCCUAGUCCAGACUUGUUAUAGAUAUGGUUUAAUUGAUCCUAGUCCAGACUUGUUAUAGAUAUGGUUUAAUUGAUCCUAGUCCAGACUUGUUAUAGAUAUGGUUUAAUUGAUCCUAGUCCAGACUUGUUAUAGAUAUGGUUUAAUUGAUCCUAGUCCAGACUUGUUAUAGAUAUGGUUUAAUUGAUCCUAGUCCAGACUUGUUAUAGAUAUGUCUUAAUUGAUCCUAGUCCAGACUUGUUAUUGAUAUGGUUUAAUUGAUCCUAGUCCAGACUUGUUAUUGAUAUGGCUUAAUUGAUCCUAGUCCAGACUUGUUAUAGAUAUGGUUUAAUUGAUCCUAGUCCAGACUUGUUAUAGAUAUGGUUUAAUUGAUCCUAGUCCAGACUUGUUAUAGAUAUGUCUUAAUUGAUCCUAGUCCAGACUUGUUAUAGAUAUGGUUUAAUUGAUCCUAGUCCAGACUUGUUAUAGAUAUGUCUUAAUUGAUCCUAGUCCAGACUUGUUAUAGAUAUGGUUUAAUUGAUCCUAGUCCAGACUUGUUAUAGAUAUGGUUUAAUUGAUCCUAGUCCAGACUUGUUAUAGAUAUGCCUUAAUUGAUCCUAGUCCAGACUUGUUAUAGAUAUGGUUUAAUUGAUCCUAGUCUAGACUUGUUAUAGAUAUGGUUUAAUUGAUCCUAGUCCAGACUUGUUAUUGAUAUGGUUUAAUUGAUCCUAGUCCAGACUUGUUAUAGAUAUGGUUUAAUUGAUCCUAGUCCAGACUUGUUAUUGAUAUGGCUUAAUUGAUCCUAGUCCAGACUUGUUAUAGAUAUGGUUUAAUUGAUCCUAGUCCAGACUUGUUAUAGAUAUGGUUUAAUUGAUCCUAGUCCAGACUUGUUAUAGAUAUGUCUUAAUUGAUCCUAGUCCAGACUUGUUAUAGAUAUGGUUUAAUUGAUCCUAGUCCAGACUUGUUAUAGAUAUGGUUUAAUUGAUCCUAGUCCAGACUUGUUAUAGUUGCACCGGGGGAAUUGAAACCAAACAGAUUAUUUUUUACAGGCCUUCUGUUUUAACUAUGCCUAGUUAAAUAAAAGGUGAAAUCAAAUAAAAUUCCUCACAUUUAUUGAUGAAUUUAUUUCCCAUCACGAACAUGUAUCCCCAUUUCCCAAUCAAAUACCUUCAUCGAUACCACACAAAACCCCCCAGACAAAAACAGUUUUUUACUCCAAUCUGGCAACCCUCAUAAAAUCCGACACAGCACCAGUAUCCCAAAGUGUUAAGUGAAAACAAGCAUAGAAAACAGUAUCGGCAUUAAUAAUAAUAAUAAUAAUAAUAAUAACAACAACAACAACAACAACAACAAUAAUAGUAAAACAGCGUAAGGAUAAUAUUAUAUUAUAAUUAUUUAGGUCACGACCUGGUUGAUUAACAUUAUUGGGUCGUUAAGACGUUUGUUUUUUAUAUAAAUAAUUGUGGGACACUAAAAAAGGCCGUGUAGAACUCCAUUACCCAAACUCCAUUGCUCCUAUAACUUUCAAAAAACUACUCUGAAAAUGUGUGUAUUUUCACACAAAUUAAGCCACACAAAAAACUUACAAAAACGCACCAAAAUCUGCUGAAAUACUUUUUUGUACAUAUUUGCAGGAAUAGAGUGUGAGGUUGUGUUGACACAACAAGUCAGGUACAAAAUGUUACCACUUGAUCUGUGCUUCGCUCCAAAACCGAUUGAAUUGGCCUCAAUAUUAGUUUAAAAAAACAUAUAUUAUCAACUGUUACUAAUGAUCCUCAACAACAACGACAUGGCAGUGAGUGUGUUUACAGAGGAAGCAAAUGAAGACUAAAUGAAGACACUGUUAUUAAAUGGAAUGGUGAUGUAGACUAUACCAACCGAAGGGAACUCACAGUAUAUUGGCUUAUUAGACCUACUGACAGUCCAUACUGGUAGAAUGAAGACACUGUUACUAAAUGGCAUGGUGACUAUACCAACCGAAGGGAACUCACAGUAUAUUGGAUUAUUAGACCUACUGACAGUCCAUACUGGUAGUGGUUAGUAUUUAACAUGAUAGAAGCAGGAAACAGAGAAUGUCAGGGCAGUCUAUAAUUAAACAAUAAGGCCCGAGGAGGUGUGGUAUAUUGCCAACAUAUCACGGCUAAAGGGCUGUUCUUAAGCACGACACAACGCGGAGUACCUGGACACAGCCCUUAGCCGUGGUUUAUUGGCCAUAUAUCACAAACCCCUGAGGUUCCUUAUUUCUAUUAUAAACUGGUUACCAACUUAAUUAGAGUAGUAAAAAUAAAUGUUUAGUCAUACCCGUGGUAUACGGCCUGAUAUACCAUGGCUUUCAGCCAAUCAGAAUUCAGGGCUUAAACCACCCAGUUUAUAAUGAACCCUUACAGAUCCACUGAACACUCCGAUUGGCAUUUUCUGUUCCUCAUUAGAAAAACUAGAUUUUUUUCCCUGACCGAUUCUGCGUUUGGUUAGUGAUGUUUGUCCCUCACGAGACACCGUAGCCUAUUUGUCAAUGAUUUUUUUUUGUUGUUGUUGCGCAAUUUUACAUCUAACUAAGGUGUUUGCUAUGUGUUGUCUGAUGUACACAGUCGGAGCUGCUGAACAGGUCUGUCACACUGCCAGUGCUAUUGGAUAGAGAGCGAUCACGGCAGCUGUUCAGCCCAUGUUAAUGGGCAAAAGGACAUCAGCAAAUCAAAACCCAGCCUUCAUUUACCCAUUGUGAUGCGUGAAUGUUCCAAACUCCAUUUUAGACGAGACUGACUUCACGAGUCUUUGGAGUCAAUUGUGACACUAGAAUAAGUGUUUCUGACUCAUAUGGACACCCCAUAGGCCGUUUUCAAAGGGAUUUGUUGCCUUUCAAAGGCUGUCGCUCUGUAACUCUCAGACCAGACACCUACUCCAUAUGACAGGGAGACAACUCCCAAGCACCUAACCCCCCCCUAAUGACAUCACACACCUCAUCUCUAUCUUGCUCA
This 4827-nucleotide long non-coding RNA is filed under the name Oncorhynchus mykiss (rainbow trout). RNAcentral describes it as "lncRNA (ENSOMYG00000054228.1)". Lineage: Eukaryota; Metazoa; Chordata; Actinopteri; Salmoniformes; Salmonidae. The record is from RNAcentral.